Molecule: long non-coding RNA, 238 nt
Filed under: Homo sapiens (human)
Lineage: Eukaryota; Metazoa; Chordata; Mammalia; Primates; Hominidae
Description: non-protein coding lnc-SH3RF2-5:1
Source: RNAcentral
GUGUUUAUGCUCAAGAUGAAACAGAAUUCUAUUUGGGCAAGAGAUGUGCUAUGUAUACAAAGCAAAGAACCAGACGGUGACUCCUGGAGGCAAACCAAACAAAACCAGAGUAAUCUGGGGAAAGGUAACUCAGGCCCACGGGAACAGUAGCAUGGUUCAUGCCAAAUUCCUAAACAAUCUUCCUGCUAAGGCUAUUGGACACAGAAUCGGAGUGAUGCUGUACCCCUCAAGGAUUUAA